CUGAUUCAUAUCAUGUUCCUUGUUUCAAAUGGUUCCAGAUAGGCCUAGAAUGAAAGCUCUACUGGGGGAGUGCAGAGGACCGUUCCUUGAGACUGAUGCGUGCCAGGUUAUCAUUUGGCCUAGAAUACCUAAGAUCAGGCUUGAUUAUUUGAAUCUUCAAGGCGUUGCGAGAAAUGUGCAUGAUUUAAUGGAAUCCUACCUGAAAAUUCAGUGAGUUCUUCGCAUUGCGGUGCCGAUCCAUACACGCCGGGCAGGCUGCUUACCGAGAGCUGCGCAUGUCCCGACUGGUGGUCUGUGUUUUGCCCGUGUUCCCUGUGAUGGCGCUUGCAGUUCCAAAAGGAAAACAAGUGAAAGGAACUUCAGCUAAGAAAUUCUUGCAUAUUUCUUUUUUGCAAGUACAUCUUUCUGUAACACUGCUACUAUGACACAGCUUGGGGACAAAAAGUGUUUUUGCUCUGUCUAAUGUAAGUUUGUACAACUUCACCAUUUAUAAGAUGGUAAUGAUUUAAGCUUUUUUCUGUAAUAUUCACUAGGAAGACAAUGCUACCCUUUGGGUUGUGAGGUUAUAAACCAAAGAUCUCAAGUUGUGCUGAAAAUAACUAAACUUUGUCUGAAGAGGCUAAGCAGGAAAUCCUUGCAGCUAUUGUUUAUAGGUAGCCACAAAAUAAUAUUUGCUGGUGGGGAAAAAAGAAUAAUUUCUGUACUUGAAAAUAUAGAACUGUGCGUGUGGAUAGUUUUGCUAAAAUAUUUCUAAUAAAAUUUGCAGAAAAAUAAUUUGUUAAUUUGAC
This 788-nucleotide long non-coding RNA is filed under the name Apteryx owenii (little spotted kiwi). Its description in RNAcentral is "lncRNA (ENSAOWG00000008749.1)". Lineage: Eukaryota; Metazoa; Chordata; Aves; Apterygiformes; Apterygidae. The record is from RNAcentral.